GCCGCUCUGGCCCAACGGCAGAGGCGCCGCGCUCAGGACGCGGAGGUUCCGGGUUCGAAUCCCGGGGGCGGCAC
Molecule: transfer RNA, 74 nt
Filed under: Thiemannella venezuelensis
Lineage: Bacteria; Bacillati; Actinomycetota; Actinomycetes; Streptosporangiales; Streptosporangiaceae
Description: Planomonospora venezuelensis tRNA-Leu
Rfam family: tRNA
About the family: Transfer RNA (tRNA) molecules are approximately 80 nucleotides in length. Their secondary structure includes four short double-helical elements and three loops (D, anti-codon, and T loops). Further hydrogen bonds mediate the characteristic L-shaped molecular structure. tRNAs have two regions of fundamental functional importance: the anti-codon, which is responsible for specific mRNA codon recognition, and the 3' end, to which the tRNAs corresponding amino acid is attached (by aminoacyl-tRNA synthetases). tRNAs cope with the degeneracy of the genetic code in two manners: having more than one tRNA (with a specific anti-codon) for a particular amino acid; and 'wobble' base-pairing, i.e. permitting non-standard base-pairing at the 3rd anti-codon position.
Source: RNAcentral